ACCAAGUGAUACCCGGUAACAACAACAACAAUCCAGUAUAGUGGGGUCUGGGGUAGGUAGUGCGUAAGGUCUACUCUUGGGUAGAGAGACUGUUUCCAAAUAGACCCCAGCAUUCUUUCAUCCAAAAACUUCCCACCUUGCUCUUGGGGAGACUCGAACUCACAACCUCUCGGUUGGAAGUGGGGGUUGCUUACCAUCAGAACAAUCC
Molecule: long non-coding RNA, 208 nt
Filed under: Nicotiana benthamiana
Lineage: Eukaryota; Viridiplantae; Streptophyta; Magnoliopsida; Solanales; Solanaceae
Description: long non-coding RNA (NBEN_LNC030716)
Source: RNAcentral